Molecule: ribosomal RNA, 2902 nt
Filed under: Klebsiella pneumoniae
Lineage: Bacteria; Pseudomonadati; Pseudomonadota; Gammaproteobacteria; Enterobacterales; Enterobacteriaceae
Description: 23S ribosomal RNA
Rfam family: Bacterial large subunit ribosomal RNA
Source: RNAcentral
GGUUAAGCGACUAAGCGUACACGGUGGAUGCCCUGGCAGUCAGAGGCGAUGAAGGACGUGCUAAUCUGCGAAAAGCGUCGGUAAGGUGAUAUGAACCGUUAUAACCGGCGAUGUCCGAAUGGGGAAACCCAGUGCAAUUCGUUGCACUAUCGUUAACUGAAUACAUAGGUUAACGAGGCGAACCGGGGGAACUGAAACAUCUAAGUACCCCGAGGAAAAGAAAUCAACCGAGAUUCCCCCAGUAGCGGCGAGCGAACGGGGAGCAGCCCAGAGUCUGAAUCAGCUUGUGUGUUAGUGGAACGGUCUGGAAAGUCCGACGGUACAGGGUGAUAGUCCCGUACACCAAAAUGCACAGGUUGUGAACUCGAAGAGUAGGGCGGGACACGUGGUAUCCUGUCUGAAUAUGGGGGGACCAUCCUCCAAGGCUAAAUACUCCUGACUGACCGAUAGUGAACCAGUACCGUGAGGGAAAGGCGAAAAGAACCCCGGCGAGGGGAGUGAAAAAGAACCUGAAACCGUGUACGUACAAGCAGUGGGAGCACCUUCGGGUGUGACUGCGUACCUUUUGUAUAAUGGGUCAGCGACUUAUAUUCUGUAGCAAGGUUAACCGUAUAGGGGAGCCGCAGGGAAACCGAGUCUUAACUGGGCGUUAAGUUGCAGGGUAUAGACCCGAAACCCGGUGAUCUAGCCAUGGGCAGGUUGAAGGUUGGGUAACACUAACUGGAGGACCGAACCGACUAAUGUUGAAAAAUUAGCGGAUGACUUGUGGCUGGGGGUGAAAGGCCAAUCAAACCGGGAGAUAGCUGGUUCUCCCCGAAAGCUAUUUAGGUAGCGCCUCGUGAAUUCAUCUUCGGGGGUAGAGCACUGUUUCGGCUAGGGGGUCAUCCCGACUUACCAACCCGAUGCAAACUACGAAUACCGAAGAAUGUUAUCACGGGAGACACACGGCGGGUGCUAACGUCCGUCGUGAAGAGGGAAACAACCCAGACCGCCAGCUAAGGUCCCAAAGUCAUGGUUAAGUGGGAAACGAUGUGGGAAGGCACAGACAGCCAGGAUGUUGGCUUAGAAGCAGCCAUCAUUUAAAGAAAGCGUAAUAGCUCACUGGUCGAGUCGGCCUGCGCGGAAGAUGUAACGGGGCUAAACCAUGCACCGAAGCUGCGGCAGCGACACUAUGUGUUGUUGGGUAGGGGAGCGUUCUGUAAGCCUGCGAAGGUGUGCUGUGAGGCAUGCUGGAGGUAUCAGAAGUGCGAAUGCUGACAUAAGUAACGAUAAAGCGGGUGAAAAGCCCGCUCGCCGGAAGACCAAGGGUUCCUGUCCAACGUUAAUCGGGGCAGGGUGAGUCGACCCCUAAGGCGAGGCCGAAAGGCGUAGUCGAUGGGAAACAGGUUAAUAUUCCUGUACUUGGUGUUACUGCGAAGGGGGGACGGAGAAGGCUAUGUUAGCCGGGCGACGGUUGUCCCGGUUUAAGCAUGUAGGCUGAUUGUCCAGGCAAAUCCGGAUAAUCAAGGCUGAGGUGUGAUGACGAGGCACUACGGUGCUGAAGUAACAAAUGCCCUGCUUCCAGGAAAAGCCUCUAAGCAUCAGGUAACAUCAAAUCGUACCCCAAACCGACACAGGUGGUCAGGUAGAGAAUACCAAGGCGCUUGAGAGAACUCGGGUGAAGGAACUAGGCAAAAUGGUGCCGUAACUUCGGGAGAAGGCACGCUGGUGUGUAGGUGAAGUCCCUGCGGAUGGAGCUGAGACCAGUCGAAGAUACCAGCUGGCUGCAACUGUUUAUUAAAAACACAGCACUGUGCAAACACGAAAGUGGACGUAUACGGUGUGACGCCUGCCCGGUGCCGGAAGGUUAAUUGAUGGGGUUAUCCGUAAGGAGAAGCUCUUGAUCGAAGCCCCGGUAAACGGCGGCCGUAACUAUAACGGUCCUAAGGUAGCGAAAUUCCUUGUCGGGUAAGUUCCGACCUGCACGAAUGGCGUAAUGAUGGCCAGGCUGUCUCCACCCGAGACUCAGUGAAAUUGAACUCGCUGUGAAGAUGCAGUGUACCCGCGGCAAGACGGAAAGACCCCGUGAACCUUUACUAUAGCUUGACACUGAACAUUGAGCCUUGAUGUGUAGGAUAGGUGGGAGGCUUUGAAGCGUGGACGCCAGUCUGCGUGGAGCCAACCUUGAAAUACCACCCUUUAAUGUUUGAUGUUCUAACGUUGGCCCCUUACCGGGGUUGCGGACAGUGUCUGGUGGGUAGUUUGACUGGGGCGGUCUCCUCCCAAAGCGUAACGGAGGAGCACGAAGGUUAGCUAAUCCUGGUCGGACAUCAGGAGGUUAGUGCAAUGGCAUAAGCUAGCUUGACUGCGAGCGUGACGGCGCGAGCAGGUGCGAAAGCAGGUCAUAGUGAUCCGGUGGUUCUGAAUGGAAGGGCCAUCGCUCAACGGAUAAAAGGUACUCCGGGGAUAACAGGCUGAUACCGCCCAAGAGUUCAUAUCGACGGCGGUGUUUGGCACCUCGAUGUCGGCUCAUCACAUCCUGGGGCUGAAGUAGGUCCCAAGGGUAUGGCUGUUCGCCAUUUAAAGUGGUACGCGAGCUGGGUUUAGAACGUCGUGAGACAGUUCGGUCCCUAUCUGCCGUGGGCGCUGGAGAAUUGAGGGGGGCUGCUCCUAGUACGAGAGGACCGGAGUGGACGCAUCACUGGUGUUCGGGUUGUCAUGCCAAUGGCACUGCCCGGUAGCUAAAUGCGGAAGAGAUAAGUGCUGAAAGCAUCUAAGCACGAAACUUGCCCCGAGAUGAGUUCUCCCUGAGACUUUAAGUCUCCUGAAGGAACGUUGAAGACGACGACGUUGAUAGGCCGGGUGUGUAAGCGCAGCGAUGCGUUGAGCUAACCGGUACUAAUGAACCGUGAGGCUUAACCUU